Molecule: RNA transcript, 2904 nt
Organism: Sciurus carolinensis (gray squirrel)
Lineage: Eukaryota; Metazoa; Chordata; Mammalia; Rodentia; Sciuridae
Gene: Paqr3
Gene name: progestin and adipoQ receptor family member 3
Exons: 8
Source: RefSeq, a predicted model, not a curated record
CGCCGGGUCCGCGGGCGCUGGUUGCGGCGGUGGGGCUGUGAGCAGAGCCGGGCCUGGGCAGUGGCGGCGCCUUAGGACCUCGCGCGCGGUCCGCGGGCUCCGGGGCGGGGGCUCCAGCGGCGAAGCCCCCUCCCCGGGGAGGCGGGGCCUGGGCGAGCUCCCGAGCCGCGAGCGGCGGCGGCAGGGAACCAUGCAUCAGAAGCUGCUGAAGAGCGCACAUUACAUCGAGCUGGGCAGCUACCAGUACUGGCCGGUCCUGGUGCCCCGCGGCAUCCGCCUUUACACCUACGAGCAGAUCCCGGUGUCCCUCAAGGAUAACCCGUACAUCACCGACGGCUACCGGGCCUACCUGCCCUCCAGAUUGUGUAUCAAAAGUUUGUUUAUUUUAUCUAAUGAGACGGUAAACAUCUGGAGUCAUUUGCUGGGUUUCUUUCUCUUCUUCACCCUGGGAAUAUAUGAUAUGACAUCUGUGUUACCUUCGGCAAGUGCGUCCAGAGAAGAUUUUGUAAUUUGUUCUAUUUGUCUUUUCUGUUUCCAGGUAUGUAUGCUUUGCUCUGUGGGCUAUCAUCUUUUUUCCUGCCAUCGGUCAGAAAAAACCUGUCGAAGAUGGAUGGCAUUAGAUUAUGCAGGAAUUUCUAUUGGAAUACUGGGAUGCUAUGUCUCAGGAGUAUUUUAUGCAUUUUAUUGUAAUAAUUACUGGCGACAAGUAUACUUGAUCACAGUGCUUGCCAUGAUCCUGGCAGUGUUCUUUGCUCAGAUUCAUCCCAAUUACCUCACACAGCAAUGGCAGAGGCUCCGUUCUAUCAUCUUUUGUUCUGUUUCGGGUUAUGGAGUAAUCCCUACUCUUCACUGGGUUUGGCUCAAUGGAGGAAUUGGUGCUCCUAUUGUACAGGAUUUUGCACCUCGUGUAAUUGUGAUGUAUGUGAUUGCUCUUCUUGCUUUCCUAUUCUACAUCUCCAAAGUUCCAGAACGGUACUUUCCAGGACAACUAAACUACCUCGGAUCUAGCCACCAAAUAUGGCAUAUCCUUGCAGUAGUGAUGUUAUAUUGGUGGCAUCAGUCAACAGUGUAUGUCAUGCAGUACAGACAUAGCAAGCCUUGUCCUGACUAUGUUUCACAUUUGUGAAGAAUUCAGAAUCAGGAAUGAAGAAUCAGGGAAUAUCUGUCACAUCUUAUGGCAUCCCACCUGGACAGAGUAUACGAUUUGAAGAUUGUGAUUGACUGGCAUAAAGCUGUACAACUCUCCACUUGGCAGGAGUAAAUGCCAAGAAUCCAUCAGAAGUAUCUACUGUUUAGAAGGAAAUGGAGCAGCACCAAAUGGGUCUAAUUCUACUGGUUGGGACUGUUGGGACUGAUGUGGUGGGAUGCUUUGCACCACAAGUUCUGUAAAGGGCACGGCACCAAAGUCAUCUAUUUUCAUCGCAUCUGCACUAUGGAAUGACCCAUGUAGUGAAUUCUGUCUUGGCCGCCCAGGCAGGACAGUAUUGUGAUCAGCACGGAUGUCACUCAGGCCUUGAUGUGGCUGGUGCCAUGGCAGGUCUGGAGGAUGGAAGGGCUUGGCACCAAAGGGAUCCAACAGACUCUCCUCUGGUUGUAGGACACUCCCCCUGUCUUUCCCAUCAGUCAGUGCAACACUAAUGUUCUCCUUGGAGUCUGAGAUGGUUAAAAAUUCAUUGCUGCUUUGAGAAUCUCGGCGGCCCACUUUCUUGUGCCUGCGAGCCCUCUCUGGAGUGCGAUAGGUCGGCUUCAAAGUCUUCUUCGUGCUAGUUGGUGUGCCAUGAUGCCGCUUCCCGUUACUUUUGGACAUAUCCUGCUUUGUACGCCUCUGGCGAGAGGACAGUUUUUGUAAGCUGCGCUGUUUGACUUUCUGCUGUUGACUCCCAGUUAUCUCCUCAAAGGGCACAAGCCCAAAAAGGUCCUCCUUACUUUCACUUUUACUUGUUGAUGUGGGAAAGGGCUGAAAGGGAGUGCAGCCAAAUAUAUCUACACUUUUGGGACAACCAGGAAGAGCAUGUGCCUCAGACCCUACUACAGGGCAGUCUUGGAUAUUCACCUUCUUGCCAAAGGGCGCCUUCGUGAAGACAUCAAAUUCCUCUUGCUCUAGUCCAACAGUAGGAAACACCUGUUGAGAGAGGUUCUUUUCAUUCUCUCCUUGCUGGGGCUGUUGAGCACGCACUGCAAAGAAAGGAACGGCACCAAAUACAUCAAACUCCUGUUUGGGAGUCUCCACCCCAACAUCAGAAGGUACAUGGGUUAGGGUGAGGAGUGCUGCAUUAGGAUCUUGGGUUGGUCCACUGCCAGAUUUCUCUCUGUAGACAGUGCUCACACUGCUGUACUUUGCUUUGGCCUGCUCAUACUCAGAAUCAGAGCUAUGUUUCUCCUCCUCUUCCUCAUCUUCAGAAUCCAUGAGGAGAGGCCUGUGACCCAGAUUUUCCGGUUCAGUAUCAUCAUCAUUAAAAUCUCCUUGUUCUCCAGGAACUUCUUCAUCGUCUUGGUCUUCCUCUUCACUGCUCUUAGGAGAAGGGGGAUCUGAUUCAAAAUCACUUUCAGAGUCAUCAUUCCCCUUUUGUACAUGACCUCGUACUGAUAAAUUUGCUGAGGUUUUCUUUUCAAUCCGCUGAUAUUUAGAUAUUGGACUUGCUUUUCCAUUCUUUAUAGGGUUUGUAGUGCUAUUUUCUUGAUUCAUGGAUGGAUAUUCACCUUUCUUUUCUGGAGAACCUGCAGGUUCAAAUAAAAAAUAUUAUAGGCUUCCAGUACAUUUCAAACAUGGCAUUACAUAUCCCUCAUACCAGUUCCCUCAAAGGAAAAAAUAAUGUCUUCAAUUCUUUGUCACUGUCCUCAGGUAGAUGGUUAGGUCCUUACUGCAGACACAUACUUGUCUCUGGUCCCUAUACACUACUUACU